RNAcentral lists this ribosomal RNA (1348 nucleotides) under uncultured bacterium. Its description in RNAcentral is "partial 16S ribosomal RNA". It matches the Rfam family "Bacterial small subunit ribosomal RNA", at positions 28 to 1381 of the family's 1533-position model. The record is from RNAcentral.
GACGAACGCUGGCGGCGUGCUUAACACAUGCAAGUCGAACGGAAAGGCCCUGCUUUUGUGGGGUGCUCGAGUGGCGAACGGGUGAGUAACACGUGAGUAACCUGCCCUUGACUUUGGGAUAACUUCAGGAAACUGGGGCUAAUACCGGAUAGGAGCUCCUGCUGCAUGGUGGGGGUUGGAAAGUUUCGGCGGUUGGGGAUGGACUCGCGGCUUAUCAGCUUGUUGGUGGGGUAGUGGCUUACCAAGGCUUUGACGGGUAGCCGGCCUGAGAGGGUGACCGGCCACAUUGGGACUGAGAUACGGCCCAGACUCCUACGGGAGGCAGCAGUGGGGAAUAUUGCACAAUGGGCGGAAGCCUGAUGCAGCAACGCCGCGUGCGGGAUGACGGCCUUCGGGUUGUAAACCGCUUUCGCCUGUGACGAAGCGUGAGUGACGGUAAUGGGUAAAGAAGCACCGGCUAACUACUUGCCAGCAGCCGCGGUGAUACGUAAGGUGCGAGCGUUGUCCGGAUUUAUUGGGCGUAAAGGGCUCGUAGGUGGUUGAUCGCGUCGGAAGUGUAAUCUUGGGGCUUAACCCUGAGCGUGCUUUCGAUACGGGUUGACUUGAGGAAGGUAGGGGAGAAUGUAAUUCCUGGUGGAGCGGUGGAAUGUCCAGAUAUCUGGAGGAACACCAGUUGGCGAAGGCGGUUCUUCUGGGCCUUUCCUGACGCUGAGGAGCGAAAGCGUGGGGAGCGAACAGGCUUAGAUACCCUGGUAGUCCACGCUGUAAACGGUGGGUACUAGGUGUGGGGUCCAUUCCACGGGUUCCGUGCCGUAGCUAACGCUUUAAGUACCCCGCCUGGGGAGUACGGCCGCAAGGCUAAAACUCAAAGGAAUUGACGGGGCCCCGCACAAGCGGCGGAGCAUGCGGAUUAAUUCGAUGCAACGCGUAGAACCUUACCUGGGUUUGACAUGGAUCGGGAGUGCUCAGAGAUGGGUGUGCCUCUUUUGGGGUCGGUUCACAGGUGGUGCAUGCCUGUCGUCAGCUCGUGUCGUGAGAUGUUGGGUUAAGUCCCGCAACGAGCGCAACCCUUGUUCACUGUUGCCAGCACGUUAUGGUGGGGACUCAGUGGAGACCGCCGGGGUCAACUCGGAGGAAGGUGGGGAUGACGUCAAGUCAUCAUGCCCCUUAUGUCCAGGGCUUCACGCAUGCUACAAUGGCUGGUACAGAGAGUGGCGAGCCUGUGAGGGUGAGCGAAUCUCGGAAAGCCGGUCUCAGUUCGGAUUGGGGUCUGCAACUCGACCUCAUGAAGUCGGAGUCGCUAGUAAUCGCAGAUCAGCAACGCUGCGGUGAAUAAAAUCCCGGGGCU